GACGAACGCUGGCGGCGUGCUUAACACAUGCAAGUCGAACGGAAAGGCCCUGCUUUUGUGGGGUGCUCGAGUGGCGAACGGGUGAGUAACCAGUGAGUAACCUGCCCUUGACUAUGGGAUAACUACAGGAAACUGGGGCUCAUACCGGCUAGGCGCUCCUGCGGCAUGGUGGGGGUUGGAAAGUUUCGGCGGUUGGGGGUGGACUCGCGGCUUUUCAGUUUGUUGGUGGGGUAGUGGCUUACCAAGGCUUUGACGGGUAGCCGGCCGGAGAGGGUGACCGGCCACAUUGGGACGGAGUUACAGCCCGGACUCAUACGGACGGCAGCAGUGAGGAAGGUAGCAUAAGGGGCGGGAGCAUGAUGCAGCGACGCCGGGUGCGGGAUGAAGGCCUUCGGGUGGGAUGCCGCUUUCUCCUGUUGCGAAGCGUGAGUGACGGUAAUGGGUAAAGAAGCACCGGCUAACUACGUG
RNAcentral lists this ribosomal RNA (468 nucleotides) under uncultured bacterium. Its description in RNAcentral is "partial 16S ribosomal RNA". It matches the Rfam family "Bacterial small subunit ribosomal RNA", at positions 28 to 507 of the family's 1533-position model. The record is from RNAcentral.